Molecule: ribosomal RNA, 442 nt
Filed under: uncultured bacterium
Lineage: Bacteria
Description: partial 16S ribosomal RNA
Rfam family: Bacterial small subunit ribosomal RNA
Source: RNAcentral
CCUACGGGCGGCAGCAGUGGGGAAUAUUGGGCAAUGGGCGCAAGCCUGACCCAGCAACGCCGCGUGAAGGAAGAAGGCUUUCGGGUUGUAAACUUCUUUUCUCAGGGACGAAGAAAGUGACGGUACCUGAGGAAUAAGCCACGGCUAACUACGUGCCAGCAGCCGCGGUAAUACGUAGGUGGCAAGCGUUAUCCGGAUUACUGGGUGUAAAGGGCGGGGAGGGGGGAAAGCAAGUCAGAUGUGAAAACCAUGGGCUGAACCUGUGGCCUGCAUUUGAAACUGUUUUUCUUUGUUACUGGAGAGGCAGACGGAAUUCCGCGUGUCGCGGUGAAAUGCGUAGAUAUGAGGAGGAACACCAGUGGCGAAGGCGGUCUGCUGGACAGCAACUGACGCUGAGGCGCGAAAGCGUGGGGAGCAAACAGGAUUAGAUACCCUUGUAGUC